RNAcentral lists this ribosomal RNA (1022 nucleotides) under Lactobacillus delbrueckii subsp. bulgaricus. RNAcentral describes it as "bacterial SSU rRNA". It matches the Rfam family "Bacterial small subunit ribosomal RNA", at positions 1 to 991 of the family's 1533-position model. Lineage: Bacteria; Bacillati; Bacillota; Bacilli; Lactobacillales; Lactobacillaceae. The record is from RNAcentral.
CAAAUUGAGAGUUUGAUCCUGGCUCAGGACGAACGCUGGCGGCGUGCCUAAUACAUGCAAGUCGAGCGAGCUGAAUUCAAAGAUCCCUUCGGGGUGAUUUGUUGGAUGCUAGCGGCGGAUGGGUGAGUAACACGUGGGCAAUCUGCCCUAAAGACUGGGAUACCACUUGGAAACAGGUGCUAAUACCGGAUAACAACACGAAUCGCAUGAUUCAAGUUUGAAAGGCGGCGCAAGCUGUCACUUUAGGAUGAGCCCGCGGCGCAUUAGCUAGUUGGUGGGGUAAAGGCCUACCAAGGCAAUGAUGCGUAGCCGAGUUGAGAGACUGAUCGGCCACAUUGGGACUGAGACACGGCCCAAACUCCUACGGGAGGCAGCAGUAGGGAAUCUUCCACAAUGGACGNAAGUCUGAUGGAGCAACGCCGCGUGAGUGAAGAAGGUUUUCGGAUCGUAAAGCUCUGUUGUUGGUGAAGAAGGAUAGAGGCAGUAACUGGUCUUUAUUUGACGGUAAUCAACCAGAAAGUCACGGCUAACUACGUGCCAGCAGCCGCGGUAAUACGUAGGUGGCAAGCGUUGUCCGGAUUUAUUGGGCGUAAAGCGAGCGCAGGCGGAAUGAUAAGUCUGAUGUGAAAGCCCACGGCUCAACCGUGGAACUGCAUCGGAAACUGUCAUUCUUGAGUGCAGAAGAGGAGAGUGGAACUCCAUGUGUAGCGGUGGAAUGCGUAGAUAUAUGGAAGAACACCAGUGGCGAAGGCGGCUCUCUGGUCUGCAACUGACGCUGAGGCUCGAAAGCAUGGGUAGCGAACAGGAUUAGAUACCCUGGUAGUCCAUGCCGUAAACGAUGAGCGCUAGGUGUUGGGGACUUUCCGGUCCUCAGUGCCGCAGCAAACGCAUUAAGCGCUCCGCCUGGGGAGUACGACCGCAAGGUUGAAACUCAAAGGAAUUGACGGGGGCCCGCACAAGCGGUGGAGCAUGUGGUUUAAUUCGAAGCAACGCGAAGAACCUUACCAGGUCUUGACAUCCUG